Molecule: long non-coding RNA, 31497 nt
Filed under: Triticum aestivum (bread wheat)
Lineage: Eukaryota; Viridiplantae; Streptophyta; Magnoliopsida; Poales; Poaceae
Description: long non-coding RNA (TAES_LNC026980)
Source: RNAcentral
AAGUACUAGCUAGGCUUACCCAAAUGAUCUAAAAAUUUACCAGCGCAUGACCAUACUUAAGUAACUUACCUACACCAAUUUUGAGCUCAUUUCAUUCAUCCAAUCUCUCUCACUAGUUUUCCCAAGUUUCUAUUCAUAGAAGAGCAUUGUGAAGGAAGUACUACUUUGGCAUGUAAAAAUGGUAUCAAUUUUCUGCAAUGCUUUCCUACGCCCAAAUAACCAUCCUCCACAAAAUUUCAGCUCACUCCAUUCAUUAUUUUAAGCCCAGCUUCAACAUUCAUGUUUUUGUCCAGCGUGGUACUUUGCAAAGCAAGUACCACCUAGGAUCCUCCUUUUGAGCUAAAAAUUUGUGAAGACAUUCUCCUUAGUAGAUGAUCAUCCUCAGCCAAAACUCACGCCCAUUGGCCAUGUGCAUUUCCCGUACCGCUAAUCAAACACUUGGUUGCUAAUUCAUGUUUGAGCAUCGAUCGGUCUCCUCGUGAGAAUCUUAUGUUCUAAUUUUCUUCCUAGCACCAACCUGGGAAGUGCCCAACCCACUAGACAUGCCUAGGCCACCCAGAACACAUGGCAACAUUACGGUCACGCGGUGACCACGCGACGGGCAUGCGAGUUUACGCGCUCUAGAGUUGGGGCCCUCGGCCACCGCCCAAACCUUGACGUAUCGCCACCAAACCAUGUAUUUAUAAUUAAAUAGGUCCUUAUGUAACUAGAAAUGAUUUUUGGAAAAAAUAAAUAGCAAACUAUGAGGCAGCUGCAGUUCAAAUUUGACCCGCUUCCAACUGAAUCGGCGGAAAUUUGUCUUUUUCAUGAGAGGUGAAUCAAAAAAUUUUACUCCCAACCAUUUUGUCAAUUGUUCAUUAAAUAUGGCCUAGUAUUUUAUAAAAAUGAUUUGGACCAAUUUUGCAACACUUAUUUGGUAGUUCCUUCACAAAAAACCUCCUUUCGGGCACUCGAAAAAUGGAAAAUGGUUUUUUCGUCCAACGAAAAUGAAAACUUCCUUAGGCAACAUUGUUUGCCAUUCCAAUAUGAACCCUUGUGCACAAUAUGAGAUCAUUUUAACAAACUAUUCCAUGAAUGUGGUCAUAAGAUUGAUCAUUUGGCUUGAAAGCCAUUGAUCUCCACACGUGAUAGCUCGUUUCUGAGAACACUUUUUUAAAAUAAUUGCCGUAUUACAAGUUUGUUAUUUUUCCUGGGAACUUGGUCACAUAUAAUGACACAAUGCGAAGGUUUCCCAAUUUUUUGAUUUUUUUUGAAUUUUUUAUGCCCGUUUCAAAAUAUGGUCAAAACGGCGGGAAUGACAGUUCCUAGCUAGUGGUUAAAUCUUGGAAAACUUUUGGUGUUUCUAUGAUUAAAUAGAUACCUAUUUACCUAGAAAUGAUUUUUGGAAAAAAUAAAUAGCAAACUAUGAGGCAGCUGCAGUUCAAAUUUGACCCGCUUCCAACUGAAUCGGCGGGAAUUUGUCUUUUUCACCAGAGGUGGAUCAAAACUUUUGACACCCAACCAUUUUGUCAAUUGUGCAUUAAAUAUGUCCUAGUAUUUUAUAAAAAUGAUUUGGUACAAUUUUGCAACAAAUAUAUGGUAGGUUCUUCACAAAAAAACCUCAUUUCGAGCACUCGAAAAAUGGAAAAUGAAUUUUCCGUGCAACGAAAAUGAAAACUUUCUUAGGCAACAUUGUUUGCCAUUCCAAUAUGCACCCUUGUGCACAAUAUGAGAUCAUUUGAACAAACUAUGCCAUGAAUGUGGCCAUAAGAUUGAUCAUUUGGCUUGAAAGCCAUUGAUCUCCACACGUGAUAGCUCGUUUCUGAGAACACUUUUUUAAAAUAAUUGUCGUAUCACAAGUUUAUUAUUUUUCUUGGAAACUUGGUCACAUAUGAUGACAUAAUGCGAAGGUUUUCCAUUUUUUUUGAAUUUUUUAUGCCCGUUUUAAAAUGCGGUCAAAACGGCGGGAAUGACCGUUCCUAGCUAGUGGUUGAAUCUUGGAAUUUUUUUUGGUGUUUCUCUGAUAAAAUAGAUACUUAUGUACCUAGAAAUGAUUUUGGAAAAAAUAAAGAGCAAACUAGAAGGCAGCUACAGUUCAAAUUUGACCCGCUUCCAGCUGAACCGACGAAAAUUUGUCUUUUUCACGAGAGGUGGAUCAAAACUUUUUACACCCAACCAUUUGGUCAAUUGUGCAUGAAAUAUGGCCUAGUAUUUUAGAAAAAUGAUUCGGUCCAAUUUUGCAACAAAUAUAUUAUAGGUUCUUCACAAAAAAACCUCCUUUUGGGCACUCGAAAAACGGAAAAUGGUUUUUUCGUCCAAAGAAAAUGAAAACUCCCUUUGUCAAUAUUGUUUGCCAUUCCAAGAUGCAAACUUGUGCGAAAUAUGGAAUCAUUUGAACAAAUAUUUGAUAGGACUUUCACAAAAAUACUCAUUUUGAGCACUGAAAAAUGGAAUGAAUUUUUUUAUCUUGAAUCGAUCACGACCAAUUUAUAUUGGUCAUAAGGUCAUCAAAUGGUUUGCUGCGUUCUGAUUGGACCAUGAGCAUAUCACGCGGAUCACGCAUCAACCACCGUCGGAUGCUUCCGGAUCCAACGGCCCAAACCCACCCGAGCCGAAACCCUAGGUCUGUCCUCAUGGACAUUUUCCACCCACCCCCCCGCCUCCAUUCUUUCUUUCUUUCUCUCCCUCCUCCCUCAGAUCCUCUCCCCUCUCCCCCGUGCAGCGAACCCUAGCCCCUCUCUCCCCCGCACACCACUCCUCCUCCCUUCCAGAUCACAGCCGCCACCUCCUCCUUUCUAGAUCGCCACCGCCACCGUCCUUCCCUCUCCGCCUCGCCUCUGUCUCCCACCGUCUCCCCUCUCCCUCCCUCAGAUCCGCCGCCGUCCGCCUCCGCGUGGCCUCCACCUCCACCUCCAGCCCCACCGCACACCACUCCUCUCUCUCCCCCGAUUCCUUUCCAAUCCCGCUGGCUGGAGAUCCACUCGAGCUCCCCUGUGAUUCAUCUCCAAUCCUGCCGUCGUCCCCGGCUCCUCACCACAAGCUCCAGCAAGCCCACCCUUCCCGCGCCCCUCAGCAGCGGGCGCUGCGCCCUGCGGCUCACGAGGCGACGAGCUCCGCAGCGCCUCCGACGACCGCCAUGAGCCGCCACGCCCUCCUCCACUCGCUCUCCUCCAUGAGCCGUCGCCCCCAUCGAUUCCGUCCAACACCGCCGUCCCCCUCCACUCGCUCUCCUCCAUGAGCCGGAUCCCCACCUCCUCCGGCUCCCCUUCCACUCACUCUCCCGGAUUCCGCACACCCACAGCCGCCGCCCUUUCCCUCCCUUAGAUCUCGAUCUGAUCCAGAUCGAUGCCACCACAGCUUCCCGUCGCCAGCCACGCCCGGAUGGGGACUGGCGCUGCUGGCCGUGGCGGCGGCGCUCGUGGCGGCGCUCCUCUACACCGCGCCCUUCUCCAAGGUGAGCGGUGCCUCACGCCCCUCGAAUCUGCAUGCGGCGGUAUGGUGGCGGAGGCUGACGGGUGUUCGUUGUUUUUGCGCGCGUGCAGGGCCUCGGCGGGGAAGGGUGCAGAUCCGCCGCGUUGCUUCCGGAUCUGCGCCCUCGUCACGUGCGCUCGACACCAUGGAACUCGUCAACAAGGUCUUCUAUCGCCCUCCUCUCUUCUCCUUUUGAUUCGAUCUGGAUGUUGCUCACACAUGCCCGAUUUGUUUUUCUUCCUCACGCAGGUCGUCGUCAAGCCCUCGAUCUGGCUGCGACCUCCAGCGCACUCGCGCGGCUGAUGGGCAUAGGUCCAUGCACGCUGGUGAUGGCGGCUCACCAAGGUUGCUGUUGUCACCUGGACGCACGAGGCACCCGACGACCUCCUCCAUCGCCAACCACCAGCACCCGUCUGGAGGAUUUGCGUUCUAUCCCCUCCCCCACAUGAACGACCUCCUGCCUACAACCAUCGCACGCACGGGAGAGCUCAGCUCGCCUUCAUGGGCGCCCUCUUGCUGGCCACCGAUAAGUUGAUCUGUUGCCUUCUGUUUAAGACUUUGCAUUUCGGUAAUUUGGUUUGGUCGCUGGGAAUGGUAGUAUGCUGUGGUGAAUCAGAUGGGGUUCCUGGCGAUACUCUUGCUAGUUGACUAGUUAGUACUGAUAGCUAGGUGUUCUAGUUAAUCAUGUAUUUAUUUGUCUCUUAGAGGUGUCUGUACCCUGCCCGAUAGCUUAUUCUCAAUAACUGGAACCAAAUCUAUGUGUUUUCGCUAACCGGCUUCGGUUAUUGCCUUCACAUAUUGUUUUGAAUUUCAAAAUGAAUACACUCAAAGUGUUGCGACUGGUGCCUCUGUUGAAGAUUUGAAUCCUGUUUUGUGAUAGGAUUACUCAACCUGCACCUGUUUUGUCAAAGAAUUACUUAAUCUUGCACAGGACAGUGCCAAUUUUUUUCAUUUCCACCAUUUGCAAUAAAUGUUGCACCUCCUGGCACUGCCAUGUGCCAUCAUCUCGCUGUUCGUUUGUCCACUCUAGUUGAAGGGAGAUGCAUAUCUGCUUAGCAGACAAGGUGACAUACUGACAUGGCAUUGAUCUUACCCUCCCAUCAGAUCAAUGAACUAAGAACCUGGACUCUUGGGAGCCACUGUUUGAACAUGAUAGGCUAUAGCGGAAUAAAUUGCAAUAUUAUGUAUUCUUGCAUUUCAUACUUAUUAUGAACUGUUAUGAUAGGGCAUGAAGAUAGCAUGUGCUGUUAGUAUGAUAGACUCUCAGUCUGAUAGCAUGGAUCUGUUGCUCUAUUUUAUUGUGCUGAACUUUGUUGUUACCUGGAUGUUGCAGUCCUUGACUGUUCUCAUGAUGUUGUACAGGAGGCCCUUGUGGUCACCGCUCGAGGGGCUGGAGCUUGGCGGCAGCCUGGCGGAUGACGGGGGCCUGGACAGUGGCUAUUUCUGCAGCAGGAUGAUAGCUUAAAUUUUGUGAUAAUUUUGGAAUAGCUUCAGCACCUACAGUUAAUUUUGCACAUAAAGCUUGAGUAAUUUUGCACAUGAAGCUUCAGUAUUUUAGCACAUGAAGCUUCUGCUACUGUUAUUCUUGUCAUGAAUCUUCCACCAUUUUUCAGUAGCUUAAAUUUGACUUGGUGUAGUAAUCUUGGUGCUUAGUGCUGCUUGUAUCUCAUGCUAAUUGUUGCAUGAGUAGUUUCAGUAGUUUUAUAACAGCAGCAGUAGCACAAAUUUAACUGGACUGUGAUUAUAACAGCAACAGUAGUUUCAGUAGCUUAUUUAUUUAGUGACUGCAGACUGUGAUUAUACAGUAGAAGUAGUUAGUAUCGCUGUAGACUGCAUAUUAUACAGUAGAAGUAGUUAGCCAACUUCUAGGGGCUGUCUGUUCACCUGUUAGUAUCUCUGUAGACUAUACAUGCUUCAAAUGGGGAUGGCUUUUAUGCUCCCUUGAAUGCAUUUUGAUCUUAGUAGUACUUACCACACAGUAACAAAAUAAGCAACAGCCUGAGCUUUCAGGUUCAGGGUUUCUCUUGACACAUACUAGCAAGCAUGAACAUGAAGCUACGAUCUUGACACAGUACCCUAUGUAGAACUGGAUCUUAAACUGUUUGUUGAACCAGAAAUAUCAUUAAUCAAUAAAACUCUUUAUUAUAGUAUAAAAAUUUUUGAACCUCCAUACAGUUUACUGAAUUCCUAGUGGUAGUUCCAGAAUCUGAUCUGAAACUGAUCUAAAACAUUUUGAACUGGAUCUCAAACUGUCAGUUUACUGAAUUCCUAGUGGUAGUUCCAGAAUCUGAUCUGAAAUUGUUAGUGUUGUUGACCAGAACUAUGCGUUUACAAUAAAACUUUUUUGAACAUCAUAAUAUAUUUAUAUAAUAUGUCUGUUCAUAAUAUAUUGGCUCUAGUGUUUUAAUUCUUCUCUUCUGAUUCAUGUAACAGGGCGACGACCGAAGGCAUGAUGAUAGUUCUAUUGCUGUUCUAGUGUAGCGAAGGUGGCCCAGUUGACUAUGGUUGCCUAGUGAGUCGUGCAUAGGAUUUCAUCUGACUAACCUUGAUGUAAACUGCUCCUAUUGUGGAGCUUGUUAUCUGAUUGUAAACUUGAUGCUGAUCACAUUUGUAUGUGUGUUAUAUGAUGUAGCACUUUGAUGGUUGAUAAUAUUUGAAGUAUUUCGUGUGUUUUCUGUGUGCCAAAUUAAAUACCAGGUAUUUAUUUGCGUGAAAUAAAAAAAAUGAAGAAUAUUUCCCUGAUGGCUAGGACCCAGUACUAGAACCUGACAAUGGGGACCCACCUGACUAGUGAACCCAAUUUAUAAAACAAGAAAAAAAUGAAACUGUUGAGACAAAAAGGGCAUGGGCCAAAAAUAAAAAGGCUGCAAUGUUGGGCUUGGUCCAUGAAGCUGACAAAAAAAUCACAUGAAAAAAAUAUAGAAAGGCCGAAUUCUUGGGCUAGGCCCAUGUAGAAAACCGAAUUGGACCGGGUUGAAUCUUGUGCCACAUCAGCUUGCCACGCUGGAUGCCUACGUGGCCUGGGGAGGUUGCUAGUGACCAAAACGCCACAGUGGACUUAUUUUGGUCAUAAACGUUUGCGACCAUUCUAGAAGAAAGGUCGCUAUAGUUAGUUUACGACGCCCAGCUUUUGACCUUAUGUUUUUGGUCACAAAAAGGUCAUAAAUGGAAAUUUGUGACCAUUCAGUGACCAAUAGUGGUGGUCAUAAGUUGACAUAUUUCUUGUAGUGGCCGCCGUCCUUGGCUGCGGCUCUGACUUGGCCGACACUAGCCUCAAGCGGCGGCGAGGGAUCGAAGACGUAUGAGGCCCGACGGCGGCGCUCGCGUUCGCCCUCGAGUCACCGGUGCAGGGCAACGCGAGGGUACCGCUUCGUGUUCCAAAAAAAUAAAAAAAAUGAAGUGCUGGCAGGAGAGGUCUUCAGAGCAACACUGGGGUGGAGAGCGAACCAUAGGAUUACGACCGACAGAAGAUCUCUUGGCGCUUGAUGUCCCGAAAACAAUUUUUUUGGUGCUUCUAGUUUAACCGAAAACCGUGGUUCUCGAGACUUUUUUUGAAACUAUGAUGAUUUUUAUAGCAAAUUCGGAAACUAUACACCCUAAUGCAGAAAAAUCAAAAGUAUCACCCUGUCGGCCUCAUGUUGGCCGAAGAGAGACUUUUCGGCCAACCGUUGGCCAAAAAGGACUUUUCGGCCAACAGUUGGCCAAAGAGUCCCUCUUCGGCCAACACCUGCUAUACUGUUUUAGAAGAUUCAUAUCAAUUAGGAUUUCUAGUAUUUUAAUUUGAUUCUUUUUGCAUUAGAUUAGAAAUUUUAUGAAGUUUCUGUAGAUAUCAAGUUUGACUAGAUUUGAAAGUUUGAAUUUGAAUUUUCAUGAAUUUGCUCAAAUCACUAGAUUGGCUAUAAUUUGAGCUAGGAGUAUUUUUUCAAAUGAUUCUUUUUGCUAUUGGUUCUUUGUGACUUUGUUUAUCAGUAGUAAUUAAUUGGCGAAUUUUAUAAUUAUUUAAAAUUAGGUUUUUAUGAAAACAGUUCUGUUUUAGUGUUUUAUAGGUUUUAUGCCAUUUCUUUUAAUUUUAAUUGCUUUAAAUUGUUUUCUUUAGUUUUUUUGACAUAUUCUUUUUGUUUCUAUUUAGUUAUCAGUAGCUAUUUUAUUUGUACUAUUUUUUGUAUUUUAUUUCUUUUAUCCUACUAGAAAACUUGUUUUGAGCUUCAUCGGAGUUUAUAUUUAAAAGUUCCUUAUAAAUCCUGUACAACCAUUGCCGUUUUAUACAUGAAAAAAAAACUUUUCCGCAAUCUUUUUCCCUCCAUUUUCUUUCCCGCCAUCUUCUUUGCCACCAUUUUCUCCCGCCAUUUUCUUUCCCGCCAUUCUCUCCCGCCACACUAAGGAGUGCUGCAUCGACGGAGGAUGACUAUGAUGCCUUCAUGUGGAGUGUGAAACACUGUGUGAGAGAAGUCAUAAGUGUGAAACACUCUCCAAUGAUGAUGACGAAGCUGCAAACACUUAUGACUUCUUUCAGACAGUGUUUCACACUCUACCAGCAGCACCGACGCAGGAGACACAGACCGUGUUAGACGAUGUUAUCUACGGUCAUGGACAACAUGAGGCUCGUUUUAUAAGUUUAGAAGUGAAGAUGGCGAGAAAGAAGAUGGCGGGAGAGAAUGGCGGGAAAGAAAAUAGUGGGAAAGAAAAUGGCGGGAGAGAAUGGCAGGAAAUAAAAUGGCGGGAGAAAAUAGAGGGAGAGAAUGGCGGCAAAUAAAAUGAUGAAAAAGAAAAUGGCAGGAGAAAAUGGAGGCAAAGAAUGGCGGCAAAGAAUGGCGGGAGAAAAUGACAGCAAAGAAAAUAGCGGGAGAAAAUGGAGGGAAAGAACGACGAGAAAGAAAAUGGAGGAUAAAAGAAAUAAAAUAUAAAAAUACUACAAAUAAAAUAUCUACUAAUAACUUAACAGAAACUAAAAUAAUAUGUCACAAAAAUAAAUAAAACAAUUUAAAGCAAUUAAAAUUAAAUGAAUAGCACAAAACCUAUAAAACACUAAAACAGAACUGUUUUCAUGAAAAACUAAUUUUAAAUAAUCCUAAAAUUCACCAAUUAAUUACUACUGAUAAAAAAAGUCACAAAGAACCAGUAGCAAAAAGAACCAUCUAAAAAGAAUACUCCUAGCUUAAAUUAUAGGCAAUCUAGUGAUUUGAGCAAAUUCAUAAAAAUUCAAAUUCAAACUUUCAAAUCUAGUCAAACUUGAUAUCUACAAAAAACUUCAUAAAAUUUCUAAUCUAAUGCAAAAAGAAUCAAAUUAAAAUACCAAAAAUCCUAAUUGAUAUGAAUUUUCUAAAACUGUAGAGCCGGUGUUGGCCGAAGAGGGACUCUUUGGCCAACUGUUGGCCGAAAAGUUCUUUUUGGCCAACGGUUGGCCGAAAAGUCCCUCUUCGGCCAACAGGAGGCCGACAGGGUGAUGCUUUUUGAUUUUUCUGUAUUAGGGUAUAUAGUUUCCGAAUUUGCUAUAAAAAUCAUCAUAGUCUCAAAAAAAAUCAGUUCUUGAUGGCUGGUGCUUUUGGAGACCUUGGUUUGUGGGAGUCCUAGGGGAUAUGUGUUGCAUUUUAGACUCUCUUUCGCUAAGGGGUGGCUGGCAUUAGGCUAGCUUGCCUUAUCUCGCGGCCUGAUGGGGGCAAAUGAGCUUAACUCAUUCUGCAAUCCAUCUAUCCGUGCAUCAUGCUUGCUUUGGCUGCCGCCAAGCAGCCUGCUUUAGUCGCAGUUCAUUUUAUAUUUGUAAGAAGACACGAGGUUUUUGAUAAUGGAAAUCGAAUUGAGUGCUCUCUUUUUCAAAAAAACGUUUCGUAGAGUAUUACCAGUCAACCAAAUUGCCCACAAAAUUUGCACCAGCACCUUGACCCAGCCGUUCAUGCGGCGUAUGUACUCUUCAAAGCUUUUCUCCUGUUUCCCAUUCCCUCUCUGAUGAGCUUUUAUAGGCGAUGAGUCGGAGAGUAUCGUACAAGUAUGCAAAGACGGCUGUUGAGAUGAUGAUCACGGCGAUGUCCCACUUCCGAAGCGAAGUGCUCUUGUGGUUGGAUGGAUAAUAUAAUGAAAAUCUUUUUUCCAAGCAAGUUGUGGUGGGUUUUUGAUGAGGUGGGAAACUGGGCAUGUGUGCAUAUUGGGAUAAAUACAAUUACGUAUCCUCGGCAACCCCUAGACCGGUACCUGCUUCCUUCUUUAUUUUCCUUGCUUCCAGAAAUACCUACCUUCAAAAGCAAAACCUACUUCCUUUACCAACACGGGCACGGCUUCCGAAACCCCCUCACCUCGGCCCGGGAUAGCGAUAGACGUACGAAUUCAAUCAAUGGCGAUAAUGUCAUCCCCUUUCCUUAGAUAUAAAAGAAUCAUUCUGAGUGAGUCCAUAAGAAGUGACCCGCUUUUUCAUCGGUUCCGGGGGAAGACCAAAGAUCUUGCGCGACCGGUCCGCCAGAAAAACUAAAAAGAGAAUGAGAGGUAUGCACUGUGAAGGAAGUGAGAUCAACUAAUAACAACAGAAAACUUUUCUCUAUGCAUCUUGAGGUGGGCCUUUGAUGAUGUGAUAUAUGCGGUGAGGUGACAUGUGUGCAUGUUAAGAUGAAUAAAAGUAGCAGGGGUCAACAGUUUUUUGGAUAGAAACCAACAACUUAGUUAUAUAGGAUUAGGAGGGGGGGCAUUGGCCCCCUUACCCUCAUGAACUAUUUCCUCUGUUCCCCUGUUUUCCAGGGCGGGGCCCCAUGGUUCUCAAUCAAUUCAUGCCACAUCAUCUCGUGAAUUGCAUUACGUGGCCGUUGGGAGGACGUCGGUCACCAUCCGCUGAGCACUCCGAUCCGAUGUAUCACCUUCUACACCUCCGUAAAAAUUGUGCUUGUACUCUUCGUUGUCGCCCCUGUUCAGAUGAAAAGGCCGUCGUCCCGUUCGGGAUGAAGGUCGUGUGCUUCACACAACAAUAUACAAUCGUGUGGCUACAAUCAGUACUAUUCUAAAUAAGUAUCACCAUUUGAGGAAGGAAUUUUCAAUCACGCUCAUUCUCUGGAUGGAUGGUUAUUGAAUUAUGACAUUCACAGCAGUCCCAUGUAAGUUUUGAAACCAUGGUGCCUGGCUUUGCAAGCAUAUCGGUGUAUAUAUACUUUAAAUUCAAUAAGAUUUUCUUUUGAUCCUCUGUCGGCCCGUUGAAGGUGGUCAGGUGUGCAAACAAACAACAUAAGCGAUUUUGGAAAAACAGGAAAGAAAACCCAAUAAUUCAAAACGCAAGUCAUUCGUGGUUGUUUCAUUGGAGCGAAAAUUCAAAUAUCCAUCUAUUAUAAAAGAACAGUAAGCAGUGAAGAAGAAACAUGCAUGCGGUCUUCUUGAAACCACUUGUAGGUGGAUUCAUGCUCCAGAUGUUGUCGCUUCUCCGUGAAUCACAUGUCCACCAUUCUCCGUGAACAGAAAUAUUAAACUAACAUGGUUAUUAUAAAGUAACAAAGAUUAGUGCGGUCUUUGCUUCACAGACUAUCACGGGCAUGCAAACGCCAUCUACUUACAUCCGUAAGUUCAACCAACCUAAAAGUGCCGCAAUGCGAUUGAAAGGCCCUACAAAACAGUGGCGUACCUAACGGGUGUGCCAUGGCACACCCAGAAUUUUGGGACUAUUCUUUUUACCAUAUAAUGAUUAGAUGAUUUUUAAGGCCAAGCCAAGCCAAUUGAAUAUACCUUAUUUUUUAAAAAAGUGUGCACACCCUCCAUUUUAUUUUUACGUCUUGCCACUACUACAAAAGGACCAUCCCCACAACAACAUCUGAGAUGCAACGAGUGGAUCAUCUGAUCAUCACAUAAGUGGCAGUGGAUCUUUACAGCAGUAAAAGUAGACGCCUUUGGCCAGAAUUAAGUGAAACUUUUUUUCCAAGUGAAGAACAAUAAUCUGUGAAAAGUAAAAUGAGUGAGCUGUAACUUCAGUUUGGACAGACACGAGGCCAAGAUGGAAAAAGUAGAAAUCAAAUGUGUGGAAGACUAAUUAAGUUUUUUUUUUGAAGGGUGGAAGACUAAUUAAGUUGGAUGCACAAUAAGCUUCAUCAGGUGGAAGAAAUCAAAAACCAGCAUGCCACUUUGGAAACUUUUCUUUUUAUAAGAGUAUAAUUGAGGCUUUCAGUCUGGCCCAGUGGACUGGUACUUACCCAUUUGGAACAGCUCAAAGCCCAGGCCCAGGAUGUCUUCUUCCUCCUCCUGGCAACGAUGAGCUCGCUCAACUGAAAAAAAGGCAACGAUGAGCUCGCAACUGGUAAUGGCGGCUCCUCGCCAUGUGUUCGAGAGCAGGAAGGGCAGGGCAGGGUACUUGAGGCCGAAGCACGGGGGUGACCAUGGCCUUCGCUGGCCCUCCCUUGGCUCCGCCACUGAGCCGCAUACCUCCUCCUCCGGCCAGCAGCUGCUCCCCGCGCGCGCCCCUCGCUCUCUACACACGGUAACCUCCUCACCACCGUCUCCUCGGCGGCUCGCCUUCCUUGCACCGCAGUGAUUUUGUUUUGGUGCCUUUUCCAUGGGCUCUUUGGAAGCAGCGGCGCCCUUUCGGCGCAUGCCCACAACCUGUUCGCGGAAUUGCUCGUGCCAGUCCAUGCGCUGGUGUGCGCUCCUUAACUGUGCACUGUAUAUGAGCUGAAGAUGACUCUCGUUAAAAAGAAAUCGUGCCAAAUCUAUGUGCUAGACUUCCUUAGAUGGCUGUACCGAAGAUGAUUUCUACUUUAGUCAUGAUUAGAACAUCAAACAUCGUCGAGCGCUGACAUGCAAAUUGAAGCGUUUGUUCAUCUCUACUUCUAUUCUAUGUGCCAACUCCAAUGCUUGCUUAGUACAGUAUUAUAUAUAGCAGGAAUCACCCAGGCGACAUGUCAUAUAUAGCACAGUGCGCCUCUUCUCGGAGCAAGCCAAGAACAUCAGAAGGUGAAGCUACAGUUGCUGCACCUUCAGCAGCUGUCCAGGGUUGUUCUGCUCCUCUGGUUCAGGCACUGGUGGGAUCAACUGCAGCUCAAGGCGUUUCCUGCUUUCACUUCCCUGGACACAACCGAGGGAAAGCUGCUCUCCGUCCUCCUUGUCGAAACCUUAUUGGCAAAUCCCACGAGAGAGGUCUCCAAAGGUGUGACCCUGUCUGCUCUGCUAGAGUGUUAAUCAGGCAUAGCUCCUCAGCGCGCUAAACACAUACUGUAUUAAAACAACAAAUUCAAUACAUUACAUUACGCAAACAAAAAAUAUAUUAGGAAAACCAUAUAGAAGCCGCAGGCAUUAAGAUAACUCUACUAAUCAAACAAUAUGAUCACCAAAAGGAUGCAUUCCAUUCAGGACAGCAACAAGAUUAUCUAUCGACCAAAGUUCAAAAAUAAAAUCUAUAGACCAGAUUUGCACAGAUGUCCCUUCAUUUAUCCAUCCACGCACGUGCUAGAUUGGUGCCAGAAUGUAAUUUUUGUGCAUUCUGCAAGAAGAAAAGAUAUGUACAGAGAAAAACAUGGGAAGGAGCUCAUAGCAUCAUUCAGAGAAAGCAUCACAACCGACCAGGCACCUAUCGAUAAAGCUACAAGGAAUCGGCAGCCCAGGUCGGCUUCAGCUUCACCAAACCCGUAGGAGCUGAAGUGCUUCACCCUGAACUUCCACUCGCCCUUGGCGCCGUCAAACUCCACUCUCUGCUCUUCAGCCUUCUUCACCGGCAUCUCCUUGAACUUGUCCAACCUCGGACCCUGCGUGUACUGGUCGCCCCUCUUCCUAUUCAUGCACUUAGCUUUGUUCAGGCCCUCCAUCAAGCGUCCUAUUCGACAAAUCAGCAUACAAAAUUAUUAGGUAGCUCAUACCAUCGCACCCAGCUGCCAACAGGGGGUCGCCGCAUUUCUCCGAUGAAACAUAUACUCCAUUGCACGACUCACUGAUUCAACCAACCCAUCGACUCGACGAGGAGGAUUUCUCACCUGUACUUCAGAAUCCGUCUCACUUCUUAGUUCAGAAGUUCCAUCCCCGCGCGCACUGUACUCUGUUGGAAAUUUCUCGCUCACUCACUUCAAGCACUGUAUAUAGCACUCCUAAGUUCAAUCCUUCAUACAGAUCCUUGCACUGAGUUGCCGGCUUGCAGCAUCGCUAUCUAUGUGGAAUCUAGUAAGAAAUAUGGCUAGAAUCAACAAAUGUACCAAUCAGAAAGAGACCCCAAAGCAUGUGGUUCUGAUUACUUCCUCCUGAUCAAUUCCUUCCACUUGAUCAAUGAGAGGUGCGGCACAAAGAAGAUGUUUAAUUUCCACGGGUUUCAUGCUCUUACUGGGUGUUUUCUCAGUCUCAACCUGGACGGCGGUGAUCCAUAGCUGAUUCUUGGGGGGUCUAUAUUGAAUGGCACGCCUGUAUAUACAAGAACAUUAGAGGUGAUGACAUCUUUCAUAAACUGAUCACCAUGCAUAAUUGAGAGAGAGAGGGAGAGAGAUUCACCUUGCACCACCCAAAACAAUAUGGUACCAGAGUCGACCUCUUUGCCAGCAUAAUCCAAACACAUUCUUUCGCUCUCCCACUGUUUACUCUCCCAUGAGAAUGGCAAAAAGAUUGGGUCUUUGAGGUACACAAUAUGAUUUUCAGAGAGUAGUUCAUAAGCAGCAAGCCCACGAUUUGAGCAUGUGUAGAUAAAACCAUCCACAAAUACACAUGCGCCGUUUAAAAGGCGGUUUCUAAGCAUAGCCCUUGGCAGGUAUUCUCCCCAUAUAGUCCAAGGCAUGACAACAUGCCACUUCUUGGCACCGACGUCAAACCGAAGACAAGAACAUGUGAUAGUAUCACAGACUAUAAAGGAAUCAUCACCCAGUACAACAUAUCCCGAGAGCUUGACCUUCCUGUCAAGAACAUUAGACUGGUCUGUGUGGCAGCGCACCCAUGAGGUGGAUCCAGGAGGAGAAACAUGGUGGGCCUUAGAGUAAACUUGGAGAGUCUCAGUAAGAGCAAAAGUCGCUCGACCAACUUGGAUAACCAUAACAAAAGGAUCGUCAACAGAAACAGGCCGGCGUGCAAGGAUAUCCAUAGCGUGACAUGUGGUGUCAAGAUUAAUCACAUCCAUGCCAUCUUUUAGGAAUGAGACAGCACAUAGUUUUGAGCUACUCCGAAAAAAUGCCUGUGCCCAUGAUCAUCUCCAUGUACAAUGUAAUGUGGUUUGAGAGGAGGUGCGCUUUCGAAUUCUAACCCUGGAAUCUCAUCCAGACUGGUUUUAUAGAUAAAUGAUUGUGAACCACCUUGGCAGAUAAUAAACAAGUGAUCCUUGUCAAUAUGGAUACGUGGUGGCUUCACGUACCUAGGAGGACUUGGUGGGAGAAAAUGCCUGGAUGAAAGAAGCAAAAUAUGUCAUGCACUAAUUAAGAAGCUUGGAAGGCACAAAGAAACUUGGAACCAAAGUAAUGUCUAGACCUGCAAGGAUCAUCAAGCACUUGCUCUUCAUGGAGUUGAGGCAGCAGCACCUUGUCAUCCAUAUACUCUCUAAGUGGUUGAUUAGUAGAUAAAUUAAAAGAUUAAUUUGUAAGCAAGAUGACCAAAAUGAACACAUGGAUUAGUGGAGAGAAAAACUUACUGCACAAAGCAUAAUUGAAAUUCAUGGAUGUGUUUCAUGGGCAACAUGUCGAGCUGGCGGAAGGUGGAGUGCAGGACCUUGACAUCCCAGGGCAGGGGAGCAAUGUGGAAGGUGGUGACAAAGGCAUGUAGGUGGUCACACCCGCAUGAGAGAUCGAGGCUGAUCCAGACAGAGCACAUGAGCCCCGAGCCCAGAUGGGCGAGGAAGCCAUCUCCUUGCAUUACAAUGAAAGGACAAACGGAGUCAAUCCUCGCAGGCAGAUGCAGCUUGAGCCUUCGCUCUUCAUCUGCCGGUGCGAGCUUGUAUUCGUAGACCACGUUGUUCCACAGCAUGUAGAUGGCAUUGCUUUCUUGCGUACAGGCCGCGGCCAUUGAUAGGGAGGUAGCACUCGUCUGAGGUGCGGAUUACCUUGGUCCACAGCCGGAGUCUGGGGCCGAGCAAUCGAAGGUGAAGAAGAGGCUAUUCUGGAGGGAGAUGAGAAUCAUGGUGCCCCCAUCCCGGCCGUGGCCGGGGAGCACCGCGUAGCCCUGGAGGAAGCUGCCACCCCAGAUGGGGAAGGAGAGGUCGAAUUUGCAAUGGUGGAUGAAGGGGCUGCCGACCUGCUCCCAGCGUCCUCCGGCUACGCCCUCUUCCUCCUCGUGGAUGACGAGGCGUUGCACCACCAGGUGGAAACUGGAGACGGAGCAGCGGCCCGCGGACACGGCCCAUAUGUGGCCGUCCGCGGAGACGGCAUGCAGCGGCCAUGCGUGCUCCAGGCCAGCGGAGGGAGGGGCGCUUCGGCCCGCAGCUCCUCCUCGUCGGCUUCCAGCUGCAGCUGCAGGGCGUGGGUUGGCUCGUUCUCCUCCUGCUGCACGACGCAGAGGGAGCGGCCGUCUGGAGCCAGGGCGGCGUCGGCCCUCAAGCUGCUGCACCCGUGCGAGCUUUUGAGGUCGUGAAAGAUCUCCAGCACCUCGUUGCUCCGGCCGGAGAUCCGCCCCGAUCUCGCCACGCGGAGACGGUGGAAGCGUAGGGCGCCCCUCAUGACGCCGACGAGCAGCGACCAGGCGGGGCCCUCGUCGGCAUUCAAGGGAAUGUCGACGAAAUCCUUGCCGGGGAAGACCUGAGGGAGCGGGGCCGCCCUCUUCGGGUUAGGGUUAGCCUCCGCUGCCGCCAUCUUCGGGUUAGGGUUAGGGGUUUGGGGACAAGUCUGGGUGACUAAUUAAAUUGGCGGGAUGCUUGUUUUUUUGUUGUUGAGGACUUGAUGCUUCGUGCUGGGCUGGCCCAACUUUAUCUAUUUGAUUUUCUUAUUAAAUAAAUAUUUAAAAGUGUUCAUCUAAAAAAUAUAUUUAAAAGUGUUCAGAUGUUGUAAUAAAUCUGUUUACAUAAUUUUAUAAAAGUGUUAAACUAUUUAAGUUUUUACCGAUCCUAAAGAAAAAAAAGGUUUUCUAUACAAUUCUAAAAAACCAUGAAACUUAAAAAAUGUUCAAUUAAUUAAUUUUGUAAGGUGUUCACGCUUUAAAAAAAGUGUUUGUGCAUUUUUUAAAAGCAUACAUUUUUCUCAUGACAAUAAAACAUGUCACAUAUUUCACAAAAAAAUGUUUGAAUAAUUCGAAAAAAAUAAGUUCCUGACAUUAAAUUUUCAAAAUAUUGUUCGUGGAAUCAAAAGAUUAUUCACGUAUUUUUUUAAAAAACAUCAAACUUAGAAAUUAGGGUCAAAAUUUAAGUGAUCAAAAGAUGAUUGGAGCAUAAAGCUAAUAGUCUUGUAAACUUAGAAAUUAGGGUCAACAUUUAAGAGAUCAAAAGAUGAUUGGAGCGUAAAGCUAAUAGUCUUAUAAACUUAGAAAUUAGGGUCAAGAUUUAAGUGCUCAAAAGACCUGAAGGAUCGGGGUCGAGCAGCCCCCCUCCUCUUUGCUCUUCUUGGGCGCCGACAUCUUUGGGUUACGGUUAGCCUUCGCGGCCGCCAUCUCCCACUCCGACUCGCUCUCCGCCGUCGUCACCUUUGGGUUAGGGAUUUGCGGGUAACUAAAUCGGCAGGGUGUUUAUUUUACCUGCGAUUGCAAUUAUAAGUAAGCUACUUAGCCUGCCUUGUCUUAAUUUUCGGAUCCACCUGAUAUGAACUUGGUUUGUAGUAUUCUACAUAUACAUAGCAGUAGUAUUUUAUAGAUGAUGAAAAUGGUUUUUUCAAUCCUACUCCAAUAUACUCCCUUUGUAAAUAAAUAGAAGACGUUUUAGGUCACUAAAGUAGUGUGAGAGUCUAGCUUAAUAGGAAUGAUAGGCUACUCAUAUCAACAAGGAAUUCCUUCUUUUGCGGGAGCCCAUUUGAAAAACUUCAAUGUUAAGCGUGCUUGGCUUGGAGCAAUUCUAGGAUGGCUGACCGACCGAAAAAAUUUGUCCCGGGUGCACACGAGUGAGGACAAAGUGUGUAGGAAAGACUAGUGUUGGUCUGUGGGGCCAGUCUAGAUCCCUCAAGGCGUUACUGCCGGGAACCGGUGGGAAGGUUCCUGUGGGCCGACAAGCACAUCGAUUCCUUUGAGUGGGCGUGUAUGUGAGAGCCUAGCUUAAUAGGAACGACAGCCUACUCAUAUCAACAAAGAAUUCCUUUUUUCCCGGGAGCCCGUUUAAAAAGAACUUCAAAAUUAAGUGUGUUUAGGUUAGAGCAAUUCUAGUAUGAGUGACCAAACAAAAAGCUGGUCCCAGAUGCACACAACUGAAGAGAAAGUAUGUAGGAAAGACUAGUGUUGAUCUAUGGGGUCAGUCUAGAUCCCUACAGACGUAAUGACCAGGAACCGGUGGCUGUGGCCGGGGCGUUACAAGUAGUGACAUAAUAAAACAUCUUACAUUAUUUGUUUACAGAGGUAGUAGCUCGCUAAACUGUAAAUUUUACUCCUAUUACUUAGUACUAAUUAUUUGUUUGAAAGUAUGGAUUAAAUUUGCAGUUCUAAUUUUAAAAUUUGAGGGGAAAGAUGAAUCCCAAAUGUUUUGGAAAUAUCAAGUGGAAAUGAAUGCAUGACAUGACUGGCUGGUUGAGUAGCAAAAUUGCAGGAGUAGUAGUAUCUGUCCCUCUCUGCCACUGCAAGCUUAAUGCCCACAGUAAUUCUGAUAGUACAAUUUAGUUAUUACUAGUGGAGGAACAGCAGCAGCCAAGGCAAAGGAUCACCCUACACUGGCAAGAAUGCAUGACUCACUCUUUGUGCAGUACUCCCUCCAUUCACUAUUAUUAUAAGAUGUUUUUACUCAUUUCAGUCCGCGUGUAGUUUAUAUUAAAAUAUCUAAAACAUUUUAGUGAACGGAGGGAGUACAAGAGUAGGAGUUGUAGUAGUAUAUGUCUCUGCUAGCUUAAUAAUUCUGUUGGGACAGAGCUCUAUUACUCCACUUGAUUAGAGGAGGAAUAGCAGCAGGGGAAGAAGCGGAGCCAAGGCAGAGGAUCCGGCGGUGACUCGCCUGGUUUGGGCGGCGGAGGCGUUGCAGGAGAGGGUGUCCGGGUCGCUGAAGCAGCCGUGUGUCUGCGCGAUACCCCUGCCGGCGUCCUCCAGCAGGAAGCUGGAGUUGGGGCUGCCGCUGGUGAGGAGGAGGCACCAGAAUCCUCCGUCCACGCCGGCGCCCACCAGCGUGGCAGCGUCUGGUCCUUGCCGCGGAACACCGUGGCGUUGGUUAUCUCGAAGUCGUAAACGCCCGCGUGCAAGCCGCAUCCGAGGAUGCGGCCUGAGAUGGCGCCGACGGUGGGGAGCUCGACCCCGCAGUUGGCGGCGUAGACCUCGGUGAUGUCGGUCUCCGGCGGACGGCAGGGCGGGGCGAGCGUGCCGCCGUCAGCGCACCCGCUCUUGUCGCUGCAUCGGGAGAUGUACUGCAGCGCCAUGCAGCCGAGGCCCUUGCUGUGGCGGAGGGUGGGCAGCUUGGCCGAUGCCCGGUCGCCGUUCACCAUCGCCACCAGGUCGUUCGCCGGGUUCCCUCCUCGUCGUCCUCCUCCUUGUGUACGUAAGAAGAAGAAGAAAACGAGAACAUAAAAAAUAAUUGAGAUGUAUGUACGCAUACAGAUACAGGAAUCUACAGUAAGUCGGAAGAAGAAGAAGAUGCAGAACAUGAUAGAAUAAAUUACCGUGGUGGAUGGUGGGUGCAGCCAGAGGCAGCAUCCCAAUCGUGCAAACGCAAACCAUGGCGAGGUUGAAGAUCCCCCACCACAUAUUCACUGACUCAAUCAGUUGGAUUUGUACAAGAAAGAAGAAGAAGAAGAAGAAGAAGAAGAAGAAGAAGAAGAAGAAGAAGAAGAAGAAGAAGGAGGAGGAGUCGAUAGAUAGAUCACAAGAAAGAAAAAAGAUGAAAAGCGAGCGAGGAGAGGACGGACACGGAAACAAGAAAGGGAAGAAUGGAUGGGGAAAGUGGAGGCCCAGCUGCUGGUCUUUUGUUCCAGCUGAGCGAGAACGCAACGCACCCGCAACGCAGUAGGCUGUGCACUCCUCCUACCUCCUUUUCUCACUCACAUUGCUAAUCAAAUGCAUUUUUUUACGGGUUGCUAAUCAAGUGCAUUAUCUUGUUUUUUUUAGUAAUUUGAUUUUUGGGCAUUCAUGUCAUUUGCUAUUCAUUUUUAUUGUAACUGUUUGUGUAUCAUAGAAAUUCAUAUUAUAUCAAAUGAAAUAAUUGUUGUUUAGUUGUUAUUUUUAUGUGCGGAAAAAUUAAUGAGAAGUAGUAUGGGUGCACCCGCUAAAAUAUCUCAUUGAUAAUUGUUGAGUUGGCCGAGGCAAAACCCCGUACAAGUUUUUCUAGGCAAUGAGGUGUGGUGGGCCGUGAUGAUGACAUAUUUCAGAAUGAUGUAGGGGGGCGCUCUCAAAAGGAGGGUAGCAUCGGAGGGUAGCCGUUCUUCAUGGUAUAGUUUUUCUUUUCUUUGAACGGUCACCGGGGCGAGAGGAUAUGUACGUACCUAAAUAUAUUACUCAAAAAGCUGCCAAAGCUAAGAGUCAUCUUUUAAGCUUUGGCUGAUCCAGUUUAUAAAGGAAACCCGAUCAAAAAUCUAAACAAAUUGAUCCCGUUUAUGAGAAAAACCGGGCCAAAAAUCGUACAGGUAACAAGGUUACAGGAGAUGAUUCAUGGUACAGUUUAGUUAUUACUUGUGGAGGAACAACAACGGGAGGAGCAGCAGCCAAGGCAAAGGAUCACACUACACUCGCAAGAAUGCAUGACUCACUAGUUGUUGGGUGGGCGGAGCUGGUGAAAGAGAGGGCGUCGUCUGGUUUGGUGGCAACUUUGAUGGAAUCACAAAUGCUUGAGAAAAUGAUCACACUACACCGGCAAGAAUUACAAGAAUAGGAGUCCUAGUCGAAACUAUCAUUGUCAGUUUACAAGCACAGACUGUCAGUUUACCCCGCACAUUUUGCUUAUCUUUUCAGUUAGUUUACUUGCCUUGUUUAUUACUUGUAUAUUUUGCCAAAUUGUAGUGAUAGUCAGGUAUGCGUAACUUUGGUAAGUCUUACUUACCAAAGUACAUGAACCUAUUUGCUUCGGUUUUGGUCUAGGGACUAUGAAAGCCUUACUUUCAACAUAAGGUCAUCUGUGCAAGUUUUAUACAUUUUUUUGAACUUCAAGUUAUAUAUUUCUGAAGAUUCCUAGGUUAGUUUGAUUAUUCAUCACCAAUUGUACUGGUGCUUAAGCAGCAGUGAUAGUAAGUUAUGCUUAUAAGUUGGUACCAUUUUGUGUUGUUUCAUUAGCUUAUGGACAAGAAUGCCACUUUUUUUUGUCGUUUUUGAAUUACUGGUACAUAUGAAUCGAUGUAACAUUUGAUUUGGUAUGCAAAACCAUAUUUAUGCUGUGGACCCUGAAUCGCUCCCGGAAGGAGUACAACUAACACACAUCAACCUAAAUGACCAGAGCUGUGCUGGUCUCCCCAAGAUGAAGCUUAUGUCUCUCCAGUACCAUCCGGAGUCCUCCCCCAGGCCCCAUGACUCAGACUUCGGUAUGUAUAACUUCUUGGCUACUGCAUGCACGCAAAACAGUUUUUCGGAAGAAAAUUAUUAGUUCCAUUAUUAAUCCGGUUGUGGAUAUGACUUCACUGUUUUAACUCUUUUGGCGUUGCAGCGUUUGGUGAAUUUGUGGAGCUGAUGAAGAACAAUAGAUUGUGAGCGGAAGGAAGGUUGGGAUGCUUGGUGAGCAUCAUGAGUUGCAAAACUUGUACUCGGUUGGGUUUGUUGUUGGACCGACGCAUCGAGCUCCAAGGAGUUUGUAUUUUUCUUGUUGAUUUCUCUUAUCAGCUGAUCAAAACCUGUAAAGUAACUAGUGGUAUUGUACUAUUUAUUGGAGUUUAAAGAAUAAAAUCCUUUGAGCUGUUGUAUUCUGUUGCCCUAGCCUGCAAGCUCUCAGAUGUCUUGACGUCCGUAUGAAAUCCGCCUCAUUUGCUUUGCAGUAUAUAGAAAAAAAGAAAAAACCAGGACUCAUUUCCAAUUUAGCUCCUGAGUUGACAAUACAUACAUUUCUCUUAGUCUCAAGUCUAGUCAGAAAGGGGUGCUGUUGCGAAACCGAAGAAAUAUAGGAGGUGAUGUGGCGAGAGUAUUCAUUUUACAGGUUCAACGCCAACACGACAUGUGAAUAUCGAUCGGAUUUUUAACUCGGCGCAUUUUACUGACUUUUGGAACAAAUUAUCCAACUCCUUAACUAAGAAUUUAACUUUGAUGUCCCGAAGACAUUGAGGCUAAGGAGGUGUUUGUUUCGGAAAAAUAAUAAUCCUCAUAACCUGUUUACAGUGUAAACCCAAAAUGUUACGCGUGUUUGGUGUGUGUAGGCCGUAAUGGGCUGCUUUCGUGAAGGUGUGUGUAGGCCGUAAUGGGCUGCCUCCGUGAACGGUUCCAGCCCAGCUUUCGAUCGAUACCAUCCACACACACACACCUCCCUGGGUAAAGGUUGUGUUACCGCAUGCACCUCCUUCUCCCAGAUCUCCUACUCCUCUACCAGUGUUGGCGCCACCUCAAUCCCCUUCAAGCCCUCUGAGCCACCUCUCUGACCCCCUCCGAGCCACCUCCUCCCAUCUCUGAUGGUCGACCAGUAACCGAACCCGUGCCUUCUCCUAGUCGAGACCCCUUUCACGCCGCCCUAGCUCGCCCUCAUCGCCGGCUGGACCGUUCGCUGCAAGGUUGAGGCUCCCUCCCUCAUCCAUCCUCCUUCUUCUGUCAUUAGUCCUCCGUCCUCCUCCCUUGUCUACUCUCCUUCCCGUCCUUUGUGUGCUCUCCUUCCUUUGCAGCCACCGUCCGCGACGACCUUGGAGCAGACACCGUAACUCUGAUUACUUUACGGGCAUCAACCAAACAUAACAGAGAUUUAUCUAUUAUGUUUCGUUACCAGCGUGAUCUAAUUCCCUCACUGUUUACAUUACUACCCUCUAAUCGAAACACUUCCUGAAUAGCUUGCCAAGAAUGAGAUUUCCAAGAAGAAUGAGGUUCGAUUGAGUAUGUGCACGAAGACUUCAAUGUUGGCUUUCAAUUGUAUCCCCUUAGUAGUACGGUUUGCCACGUGACCAAAUGGGUCUGUUAAACAAAAGUCUACACCACGGCUUCAUAUUCCUCAACAGGUAUUCUGGAUUCUUUAAUUAUUUCACACAAAUUUUAGGGGUAAUAAUUCUUCGGUUAAACCAGAGGGACUUCCACCUGUGUAUACUCACAAACACAUAAGCCAUUUUAACUGUUUUUAUAUUAAUCGUCCAAAACAUCAAAGGGGCAGUAGAUACACUUCCACCUGUGUACACUCACAAACACAUUAGCCCUUUAACUCUUUUUAUUAUUGAUCGUCCAAAACAUUAAAGGGGCACUAGAUACACUUACAUAACCCUUGACAAAUGAACAAUAACAUAUUCCCUUCGUUUCAAAAUAUCUGAAGUUCUAGGUUUGACCUAAGUCGAACUUCUUUAAGUUCGAUUAGGUUUAUAGAAAAGUGUAUUAAAAUCUAUUACACCAAAUUAGUUUUAUUAGAUUCGUCGCAAACUCACAAUGUAUAUAUAUACUUGAUGAUGUGGGUAUUAGUAAAACUUUCUAUAAACUUAUUAAACUUGUUGAAGUUUGACUUUGAACAAACUUUGAACUUCAAAUGUUUUGAAAAGAAAGAAGUGCCCUACAUAAUAAGGGAAUAAGGAUUUUUUUCUUUCAAAAAUUAGAAUAACCCCAUGCCUUUGCAUCGAUCGAUACAACCAAUUGCGGUACUCCAGGUAAUUGACUCGGAUAAUUCUUACGUUGGAGAAACAACGGUAGCAGUUCUUUGUCGGAAGGCAACGAUUGCACACACGGUCAUGAAUUCUUACGAGAUUUUUAAUUAAUAAGAUCAAUAGAAUAUUCAGUAUUCUGGGGUCUACAAUAUGUGCCGAUCGGGUGGUGCCACAAUAUGCUACUCCCACCGUCUCAUAAUGUAAGACGCUUUCUAAAAACGUCUUAUAUUCUGGGACGGAGGGAGUUCAGUUGAUAUAAAACCAGCUAUAGCUGACAGUACAUCACAUUUGCAUGGUUCUAUUAGCUGACAACAUGCUUCAUUUGAACAACCAAAUGUUGAUGCCAGGGUGGAGCUUGAAUCAGAUAAUUCACUAAGUUCCAAGGAAACACAUUUAAUAGGGUGUGAGUGGGACAAUGAUUACAUGAGCACAAAAUGUUCCCCUAUGGAACCAGUUACCGGUGGCAUCUAUCCCUUGUGGAUCAUGAGAAAUGAGGCGCCGAUUCAAGUGGUUUACUAGAAGUAACAAAUGACAGUAAGACCAGAGUAAGAUAGUGCCAUCGAUGUUUGUUUUUCAUGCUCGCUAUAUAAUGGUUAAAUUCUCUUUAAGAAAAAGAUGAUACAUUACUAUAUAUUAAGGGGGGAAAUUAUAUUUUUCAAUCCUUGACUUUUUCAAAAUAUACAAAUGGUCCCUUAACUUCAAAACAAGCAAAUCUUAGUCCCUAAUUGAAACCAGACAAGUUUAGUCCCUCCUGCUUCUUCGGGUGGUUUCCUACCGACAUGGAGUCAUAUGCUCAAAUGUUUUAGGUGCUUGUAAAUUUUCGUCGAAAAAUAUCAUCCAACGAGCUCUACACGUGAGAAACAAAAAUCAAUGCUCAAUACUUUGAGCAGUGAAAUCUUUUUAUUGUGUAUAGCUCCUCCUCAAACAUUUUUUCAGCAUGAAAUUUGGCAAGCACCUACAAAGUUUGAGCAUAUUUGAUGUCACAAAAUUUCAGAUUUAGUUUUCUAUUUUUUUGAAUUUAGGGUUCAUUCAGGGAGAACUGGGAAUCGAACUCACAACGACCACGUGAUUGAACACUAGCUAACCACUGCACCACCGCCAGUUACUUGUUAGCUUUAGUAAAACAGCACCUCUUUGACCUUUCCUUCAGUAUAAACAUUAAACAUAUACUAUUAUAUACCCACUAUAAAUUAUACUAUUUGAAUAAAGAAAACAUAAACGUGAAAACGCAUUCACAUAAACCAUGAAUUCAAAACAAAAGCUCGCAAUACAAAAAGAUUGUGAAUUUGAAAAAACUUCAUCGAAUUUUAAAAAAAGUUCAUCAAAUUUAAAAAAAAGUUCAUCAAAUUUCAAAAAAACUUCAUCGAAUAUGAAAAACAAGUUCACCGUAUUUGAAAAAAAGUGAAUUUGAAUUUUUUUUCACCGAAAUUGAAUAUAGUCAUCAAAAUUGAGAAAAGUUCAUCGAAUUUGAGAAAAGUUCACUGUAUUUGAAAAAAGUUCACCGAAAUGGAAAAAAGUGCAUCGAAAUUGAGAAAAGUUCAUCGAAUUUCAGAAAAAGUUCAUCCAAUUUGAAAAAAACUUCACGAAUUUAUAAAAAACUUCGUAAAUUUAGAAAAAGGUUCACGAAAUUUAUAAAAUGGUGCAUUAAAGAAAACAAAAAAGAAUGAUAAAAAAGAAAAAAGUAUAAACCGAACAGAAAAGGGAAUAUAAGAAGAGAAACGAACUUUUAGUGCAGCAGUGUGGUGAUGGCGAGGUGGUUAGUGCGUAGCGGUUGGAUCAGAGAGGUUGAGGGGCCGAACCCUGCUGCGCGAGCACUUUUUGGCGUUUUCGAAAAAAAGAGGAAAAUACUCGAAUGGGCGGGCCCAGUGCGGGGCGCUGUAGGCGCCAGUUUGCAAAAUACACGUUAAUGGGCGCCUGCAGGGCCAAAUAGGGUUUGCCGGUUUAGGGACACCCGAGAGCAGACAUGGCCACCUGGGCAAUACCUAACGUUUCGGCCCAUUAGCUCACGUACCCGACACAUCAUGGGCCCGCCGACACAUCGUUAAACAGGGCAUACCUCACGCGGCACGCUCGAGGCCGUGUCAGGGCCGUAUGGUCAGGCCCGCGUGCCGGCACAACGCGACACAUUUCUUUCUAGAAUUAUUUUUUUAUAUUUUUUGAGAAGAACACUAGAAUUAAUUUUAUAUAGGCCAAGACAGCCGAAAUGGGCCCCAAAUCGUGUGCUCCAUAAAGGAUAAAUGGGCCAUAGGCCCACCGCCUUUAACUAAUGUGCUGGGCCUGGACCAGGACGAAAUCACUAAUUGAGAAGUACUCCUGGAAAAGAUGACUCCCAACUUCCUAGCUGUGAGUUUUUUCUUUUUUCGUAGAUCCGUUUAUACAAAAUGUUUUAUCUCUUAAACCGUGCGUCAAAAUCUCGAACCAUUUUUAUCGUUGGAUUUCUCGCGUCGAGAUCUUCGAAACUAGAUCUCAGGUUGAUAGAUUUUGAUGAAAAAAAUUAAUGAAAAGAACGAACGAAAAACCAAAACGGGAGCAUGUUUUUCCCCCUUUCCGGAAGUCAUUUUCGUGAGGCACGUCGAAACUAAAACCGUGCCUUUCACGGAAGGAAAAUCUCAUGAAAGGAAAAAAAGAGAAAAUAUGUUUUUUUUCUAGUUUUCGGGAGGCACAACCAUGUCUCUCGCAGAAGCAAAAUCACGCCUCUCACAAAAAAAUACGUUUUUUUUUGUUUUGAAGAGGCACAACCGUGCAUCUCGCGAAAGCAAAACCGUGCCUCUGACAAAGAAAAAAAAAUAAAAAACAUAUUUUUUCGUUUCCGAGAGACACAGCCAUGCCUCUCGCGGAAGCAAAACCGUGCCUCUAACAAAAAAAGAGAGAAAACAUGUUUUUUCGUUUUCGAGAUAGACGACCGUGCCUCUCACGAAAGCAAAAUCGUACCUCUCUCGAAAGCAAAACCAUGCCAUCACGAAAAAAAGCGUUUUUCACGCAUUUUUUCAAUAAAAAGUUAAGAAAGACUGGUGAAAAACAAAAAGUCGAAAACCCUGAAAAACAAAACAUUUAAAAAACCAAAAACGCGUGCGAACAAAUAAAUAAAUAAAUAAAAUCCGAAGAAAAACGCCCAGAACGCGAUAUACGACGACGGUUGAGAGCGCGAGUGGUCUGAGGCUGCAUGCGUGUCGGAGGACCUGGAGCUGCUGCAUGCGUGUCGGCACGGCACGGCCCGUCCCGUUUAUAAACGGGCUGCCGUGGGCCAUGGCAGGCACGCUUAAUAGGGGCCUCGCUGUGCCGGCCCAUUUGGUCAACUCUCUCUCCAAGCCCUAAGGCUCCACGCUCCCUCUCCCCGCCGCCUCCGCACCGUGCCUUCGCAGCCGCCGCCGCAGCUAUGGGUGAGCCCCUCCGUCUACCAGCUCCUCUUCCUCCCGCAACCUGGUCCGUUUGCCUUGUCGCACGUAUUAUUGCGCGCUCGUUUUGAUGGAUUCGUGGUGGCAGGCGCGUACAAGUUGGUGUCGGAGCUAUGCAGGAGGAAGCAGUCGGACGUGAUGAGGUUCGUGCAGCGCAGGGCUCUCGGCUCCCAGGCCAAGCAGGUUCGCUUUCCCUCUUACUCCAGAUCCGAUCCUCUCUUGUGUUCCUUGUGCGAUGCCAUGGCUGGGUGCAUCUAUGUCUGUGAUUGCUGGCCUAGGCCGACUAGUUUUCUUUGUCUGUAUUUCUGGUUGUUCCUUGUGCGGGGAAAAUGCGUCUUUUCUGCCCCGUCGAUGCUAGGUUUAGUUUUAGUUGAUGCAAGUUAAUUUCUAUGCCAUUUUUCUGCAAUAAACUACAGUUGGUCUUUUGGAACAGAUCUGAGCUUACGCCAGUCAUGAUGCCACGAACAAAUGUUUAUAAAAUACACGCGCGAGGAGACACUAUCUGGGUGUCUCUUGGGUUAUCUACCAAUUUUACAAGCUUUAACCGCUUGUGUUCAUUGCCCCGUUGUUUCUGACUAGUAAUUUGGACCAUCCCAUUCAGUUUAUACUAUCUGAAACUUAUGUACUGUGGACAUAGUUAAUUGCAUCAUUCAUGUCUAAAUUCUUGCCUUGUUUCAUUCUUGAAUGCCUGUUUCUGUUUCUAUGCGAGCCUUGCACACUGAAGCAUUUUCAUUGGACAUAUACACAGCUAGUUCCUUGGGUUCAUACAUUAGAUUGAGGGUUCGAUUGGUAGUAUUAGAUGCUACCAUUUGGUAAAAUGUUAUUGUCCAUUAAGCAUUGGUGCAUAGCUGGCGCCAGAGGUGGGUCACCGCAGUGCCAGGGACGAAGGGAAGGGCUGGCGCCGGAGGGGACUGCAGCCGCAGUCAUUAGAGGUCAGAUUGGAUCUGACCGCGGUGAGCAUGACCGGAGACAACGGAAGGGGAGCCGGAGAAGAGGAAGUAUCAACAUCGGAGGAAAAACGGAACGGGAGGGUCUUGGCCUGCAGGGCUCCGCCAUCUUCGUUUUGCCUUGGCGCCGCCGUCCUCUUUCUCAUGGUGGAGGGACGAUGGGACGAAAGAGAGGCUGGAAAUGAUUAAUGAAUUAAACAGAGAGACCCAAAAGGAUUCAAUGAAACCAAUAGGGUAUUAAUUUCAUAGUUCAGGAAGUAUUGUUAGAAGCUAAAUCAAGCAGAGUAGACCCGUUUUCUUCUAGAUCAAAUUUGACAUUAGCAAAUGAACGAAUAAAUUCAUUUAGAUUGACUGCCAUUGCUCUGCCCCAAACAAAACAAAACAAUGUAGGUCGCGAUCAGAUCUCUAGCAAAGCAAACCUCUCGGAGAAUUAGGGCAAUUCUAAUGAGGGAGCCUAGCCUAGGUGUUGAACUGGUUUCCAUUGUAAGCUAGCCCUACUCAUAUGGAAAUCAGAAUGGCGAUGAAUCCAAUCUAAUACGUACUGCAGUUCAGUUCUUCAGUGUAGCAUCUGAUUCGAGAUGGCUAAUAGCGGAGUAGUAUCUUGAUGCGGAAUUAAAGAGUUAAUUCGAGGUAAAAGCACGUACCGUGGAGUUGGUGUUGUUGGAUCCAGGCCGGCUGCCGUUGCUGAAAAGUGAGAGGCCGCCGCUGUCGCAGCAACCGUAGGAGGUGCUGGCCGUCGGAGGAGCGGGAGGCCAGCGGCGGGGUUGCCGCAUCCAACACUGUCCAAGAAGCGCGAGACCGCUGCAUCAGGUGGAGACGCCGAUUGUCGGAGUGCGAGGCUGGCGGCGUACCGGAGCAUAGCCAUCGCCAAAGAUCAGCUCUCCUGAACCCUACAGUCACUUGGAUGGAGAGAGAUCGGCCGAUUCGGGCUUGGGUGUGCUACAUGUUUUGUGCUUCUUAGUGGUGGGCUUAUUGACUUGCUCCUGUUAGGUCUUUGCCACAGAGUAGAAAAAGCCUGAGACGGUGAAGGAUGGGUCUGGGACGACGACGGCGACGAUGUGGUCGUGUCGGAGACAAACUGCGAGGAACUCAAUAGGGUCCGCCGAAGAGAGAACACGGUCACCGUGCUUUGAAGUGGAAUGUGUGCUCUCUCCGGUGUGCUCUCUCUGGCGGACCCUAUCGAGUUCCUCGUGGUCUGUCUCCGUCACGACCACAUCGUCGCCGUCGUCGUCCCAGACCCAUCCUUUAUCGUCCCAUGCCUCUUCUACUCUGUGGCAAAGGCCUAACAUGAGCAAGUCAAUAAGCCCACCACUAAGAAGCUCAAAACAUGUAGCACACCCAAGCUUGAAUCGGCCGAUCUCUCUUCAUCCAAAGAAAGUGAUAGUACGGUUCGGGAGAGCUGCUCUUUAGCGAUGGCGAUGCUCCGGUACGCCGCCGGCCUGGCGCUCCGCCGGUCGUCGUCUCCACCUGAUGCCGCGGUCUCGCGCUUCUUGGACAGUGCUGGAUGCGGCAACCCCGUCGCUGGCCUCCCGCUCCUCCGACGGCCAGCACCUCCUGCUGCUGCGACAACGGCGGUCUCACUUUUUUAGCAACAGCAGCCGGCCCGGAUCCAACAACACCAACUCCACGGUACGUGUUUUUACCUCGAAUGGACUCUUUAAUUCCGGAUAUUACUCAGCUAAUAGCCAAACUCGAAUCAGAUGUUGCACGGAAGAACUGAACUGCAGUACGUAUUAGAUUGGAUUCAUCGCCAUUCGGAUUUCCAUAUGAGUAGGGCUAGCUUACAAGGAAAACCAGUUCAGAACCUAGGCUAGGCUCCCUCAUUAGAAUUGCCCUAAUUCUCAUGGAGGUUUGCUUUGCUAGAUAUCUGAUCGUGACCUAAAUUGUUUUGUUUGGGGCAGAGCAAUGGCAGUCAAUGUAAAGGAAUUUAUUCGUUUCUUUGCUAAUGUCAAUUUUGAUCUAGAAGAAAACGGCUCUACUCUGCUUGAUUUAGCUCUAAUCUACUUUGCUAAUGUCAAUUUCCUCACCUAUGAAAUUAAUACCCUAUUGGUUUCUAUUGAAUCCUUUUGGUUCUCUCUGUUUAAUUCGUUAAUCAUUUCCAGUCUCUCUUUCGUCCCUCCACCACGAGAAAGAGGACGGCGGCACCUAGGCAGACGGCGGAGCCCCGCAGGUCGAGACCCUCCCGUUCCAUUUUUCCUCCGCCGCUGAUCCUUCCUCUUCUCCGGCGUCCCUUCCCGUUGUCUCCGGCCAUGCUCGCCGCGGUUAGAUCCAAUCUGACCUCUAAGGGCUGCGGUCCCCUCCGGCGCCAGCCCUUCCCUUCGUCCCUGGCACUGCGGUGACCCACCACCAUAGCCCGUCUCCUCCCUCGGGCCACGGCUCCCCUUCUUCUUGGUCCUCCUCGGCUCCCGUUCUUCCUGCAUUAACACGACUCCCUUCUUCCUCCACCAUUCUAGAAUAUUUGAUUGAUUUUUUUGUUUCUAUAUAAUCAUCCAAUUGUAAUCACACAUCAUACAACUUUUGUUUUGAUGGAUAUACUAAUGUUGCUCUGCAAUUCCAUAGUUUGACAUCCAUAUUGAAACCUCGGUAUAAUUUCGUGAGCCAAUUCAGUUAACAUCCAACCAACUGAAUUUGUAUUCAUGUUCAUUAUGGUUCCCUAGCUGAAAUGGAAUUGAAACUAAUACAAUACAGAGGUCCCCAAUACAGACAUCCAAACACAAAGUUAGGGUAAUAUGAUGGAGAUGUUCUGUACUAUGUGAUAGGCCUAUAGUGCAAUCUUCAUGCAAUCCACUAAUUAGCUCGGUCCGGAAUUUCUCUUUUUUAUUACUCCUACAUUGAUUGUAUGUAAACUUUCUCUGCAACAAAAUGUUGUAUCUUGUAUGUUAAAACGAGUUCUGAAAAAUAGGUAAAGCAAUACUAGAAAUGUGUGUACAAAAUUUUCCAGAUUUUUUCAUGACUUUUGUUAGUUCACUGCACGUCUAUUCAUAUAUCUUGUCGAAGGAGAUGAUAUUAGAAGAAGGCUACAGAUCUAGACAUUUGCUACCCCUUUUGUUGCAAUUUAUAAUGUCAAGUUUGUUAAUUGUUGUAGCUUGGCAAGCCUAUUAAGGAGACCAAGGAAGAUGUGUACCCGAGGACCCACAAGUCACCUGCCAAGAUACGCAUAAUUAUGAAAUCUUUCAAUAACCAGAAGAACAAUCUGAAGGAGCUUGCGCCGUACAUGCAUAAGGUUGGGUUGCCUGAAUCGCGGUCCUUAUACACCGUGCUGCGAUCACCUCAUAUUGAUAAGAAAUCCAGGGAGCAAUUCUCAACGCAUGUGAAGAAAGUGUUUGUGGAGAAAACAGCGGAGACACAUGAACUGGCCAAGAAGUUCUUCUGGUUGAAACGGCUUCGUAUAUUGGGGGCUCAGUAUGAAGUCGUUAUUAAUUUCAAGACACGCUUGGGUAAAAAGUUUGGCUGCAGCAAAGGUGGUGGCCUGCUUUGACAUCCAAAACAGGGUUCAGGCAUAGAAUAAAAAGGAGGUAAUAACAAUAUAACAACAAAAUGCUUCUUUUGGGCAACUGAAUUCUCCCCUUAUUUAAAAAUAAACCAUACUGGGUUGGUCGCUGAUGGAUUAAUUGGUGUUUGCUUCCUGGCUGCUUUCUUGUCUUGUAGGUACUACUUUCUUGUCUUGUACUAGAGCUGCAUCAGGCCACACACAAGCUAUCCAUCCAACUUGUGUGGAUCUUAAUUUCUGGCAUUGGUUUGAUCUAGCAUAUAAGUACUAUAUAUUCUAUGUAACUAAGGAUGCAUGUGACCUAUCUGAGGCUGUUGCUUUUUUGGUAACCAUCCAUGUAUUUCGAAAGAAGAUGGUGAUAAUAGACGAUGUCUGUCUGUCUUCUUUUUUUGCGAUAUACUAGUGCCAUCUAUCUGCCGGAGCCUGAAUAUAUGGCAGCCAGCAUGAAUAUUUGAUGUGCAAGUAACCGAAUCUGAUUAUGUUAUGUGGGUGACAAUCGAUUCACUUACUAU